UACGGGGGUGGCGAGCGUUACUCGGAUUUAUUGGGUGUAAAGGGCAGGUAGGCGUUCCAUCAAGUUGGGAGUGAAAUCCUGAGGCUCAACCUCAGAACUGCUUUCAAAACUGAUGGGAUUGAGACUGGAAGAGGAGAGCGGAAUUCCCGGUGUAAGGGUGAAAUCUGUAGAUAUCGGGAGGAACACCAGUGGCGAAAGCGGCUCUCUGGUCUAGUUCUGACGCUAAGCUGCGAAAGCUAGGGGAGCAAACAGG
Molecule: ribosomal RNA, 253 nt
Filed under: uncultured bacterium
Lineage: Bacteria
Description: partial 16S ribosomal RNA
Rfam family: Bacterial small subunit ribosomal RNA
Source: RNAcentral